RNAcentral lists this non-coding RNA (165 nucleotides) under uncultured Ruminococcus sp. RNAcentral describes it as "Lysine riboswitch". It matches the Rfam family "Lysine riboswitch aptamer". From Rfam's summary of the family: Riboswitches are metabolite binding domains within certain messenger RNAs that serve as precision sensors for their corresponding targets. Allosteric rearrangement of mRNA structure is mediated by ligand binding, and this results in modulation of gene expression. The record is from RNAcentral. Lineage: Bacteria; Bacillati; Bacillota; Clostridia; Eubacteriales; Oscillospiraceae.
UAAGGUAGAGGUGCGGCUGAGAUAAGUACCUGCUGUCGGGAAAACCAUUCCAAUGGACUGCAGCGAAAGGUGAUGCCGCCGAAGAGCAGUUUCCGGUAAAUUCUGCUCUGGUCAUUUGUUUAAGAGACAUCUGACUGUCAUCAUACAUUGAUGAAGAGCUAUCGG